AUAUUAAUAAUUUGUCCUCGGGCCGGAGACGGUAUGAAUAAGCACCCGUUCCUUGCAAAGUUACAAAAGUAAUAAUUCUAAAUCAGACUCGAGUUUCAAUGGACCCAUUAUGAUGUUAGAUGAUAGCUAUGAAAAAAAAGAAAAGUUUCAGAAGCUUUACCGCAACUAAAGCUUCCUAAGUCCUAAGCUGCUCUAAUUGGCGUGUUUCAAGUGAUCAUAAUAGAACAGGAAAACGCUUCUUCAAACGAAGAGCACUCGUUACCUGAAAUAAUUCAUAAUGUUUAAAUUUAAAUCCUACUUAAAAGAUAGAAUGAGGAUUAAAUAAAAGUCUGUAAUAAAAUAAA
This is a long non-coding RNA of Bombyx mori (domestic silkworm), 344 nucleotides long. RefSeq lists it as uncharacterized. The transcript is spliced from 2 exons. NCBI's taxonomy places the organism in Eukaryota, Metazoa, Arthropoda, Insecta, Lepidoptera, Bombycidae. The record is from RefSeq and is a predicted model, not a curated record.